UAGGGAAUCUUCCACAAUGGACGCAAGUCUGACGGAGCAACGCCGCGUGAGUGAAGAAGGUUUUCGGACCGUAAAGCUCUGUUGUUGGUGAAGAAGGAUAGAGGUAGUAACUGGCCUUUAUUUGACGGUAAUCAACCAGAAAGUCACGGCUAACUACGUGCCAGCAGCCGCGGUAAUACGUAGGUGGCAAGCGUUGUCCGGAUUUAUUGGGCGUAAAGCGAGCGCAGGCGGAAGAAUAAGUCUGAUGUGAAAGCCCUCGGCUUAACCGAGGAAUUGCAUCGGAAACUGUUUUCUUGAGUGCAGAAGAGGAGAGUAGAACUCCAUGUGUAGCGGUGGAAUGCGUAGAUAUAUGGAAGAAUACCAGUGGCGAAGGCGGCUCUCUGGUCUGCAACUGACGCUGAGGCUCGAAAGCAUGGGUAGCGAACAGGAUUAGAUACCCUGGUAGUCCAUGCCGUAAACGAUGAGUGCUAAGUGUUGGGAGGCUUCCGCCUCUCAGUGCUGCAGCUAACGCAUUAAGCACUCCGCCUGGGGGAGUACGACCGCAAGGUUGAAAC
This 554-nucleotide ribosomal RNA is filed under the name uncultured bacterium. RNAcentral's name for it is "partial 16S ribosomal RNA". It matches the Rfam family "Bacterial small subunit ribosomal RNA", at positions 355 to 900 of the family's 1533-position model. The record is from RNAcentral.